This 3281-nucleotide long non-coding RNA is filed under the name Sus scrofa (pig). Its description in RNAcentral is "lncRNA (ENSSSCG00005024377.1)". Lineage: Eukaryota; Metazoa; Chordata; Mammalia; Artiodactyla; Suidae. The record is from RNAcentral.
AAAAUAAUCCCAGUUAUUGUUUUAGCUGAGAACAUUAUGUCUAGCUGAAAUCAUACAUUUAUCAGCCUACUGUAUACCCAGAUGUGGCAUAUUACAGGGUCCUAGCCAAGGAGAUGGAAGUGGAAGAGAGCAUUCCCUUACUUUCACUCCCUACUGCCUAGAUGGCAGAUAUGAUUGUUGGAGUUCCACAGCCAUGUUGGGCCAUGAGGUGAAUUUGAAAAUAGAAUUCACCCAUAGUGAUAACAAGAUAGGAGGAGCAUGGGUCCCUGACACCAUGAAGCCACCAAACCAUCCAUGAACAGACUCCUGACCUCUUUACAGGAGAGAAAAAGAAACUUUAUUUCCUUUAAACCACUGUUAUUUUGGAUCUUCUGGUAAUCUAAUCUUGACUAAUACACACUCAAUUUUAAUUGAGUGUGGAGAAUAUUAUAAAUCAUAUAUUUCCUAAGAAAGGUGCCAUCCUAUGUCUUUUUGACAUUCAAAGCAUUGAAAAGUGAGGGCUACAAUCAAACCACAUACAUUCCUCCAUGUAACCCAAUAGCAAACCCUUUUUAAAACUAUUGAAUUCAAUUCUAUUUAAUAAAAAAAUUUAACUUACACAUAUGUGUAAUGUGUUUUAUGAAUACUUGCCUCAACAUACUUAGGAAUGGCUUGUUUCAAAUAUUUUCUAGCAGUUUGAACAUAAAGAUUUUAUCACCUAAAAGAUAUUUCAUGGGUAGUUUGAAAAUGCUUCAUUACACUGAGUGCCACUAGAGCUGCCCAAUUCAGGCCAGGCCAGGCUUUUAUCCUCAGUGUCCUUCCUUUUGUACUCCAGUCAAUCCCUUGGGUCAAUCCCACGCCAAGGCAAGAGAUCCUCCAGCCCCAAAAAGAAACCCUCCCUUGUUGGGGAGAAUGUAAAUUGGUGCAGCCACUGUGGAGAACAGAAUGGAAGUUCCUUAAAAAACUAGACAUAGAACUACCAUAUGAUCCUAUAAUCCCACUGCUGGGCAUAUUUUGGGAGAAAACUAUAAUUUGAAAAGUACAGGAGUUCCUGCUGUGGUGCAGCAGGAUUGGUGGCAUCUUGAGAGCACUGGGACACAGUGCUCGAUCACCAGCCCCGCACAGUAGGCUAAGGAUCCAGCAUUGCUGCAGCUGCAGCUUAGGUUGCAACUGUGGCUCAGAUCUGAUCCCUAGCCCAGGAACUCCAUAUGCCAUGGUGUGGCCAAAAAAGAAAAAAAAAGAAAAGUACAUGCACUUCAGUGUUCAUAGCAGCACUAUUUACAAUAGCCAAGACAUGGAAACAACUGUGAUGGCUAUCCACAGAUGAAUGGAUAAAGAAGAUGUGGUACAUAUACACAAUGGAAUACUACUCAGCUAUAAAAAAGAAUAAAAUAAUGCUAUUAGCAGCAACAUGGAUGGACCUAGAGAUUCUCAUACUAAAUGAAGUAAGUCAAAUAUCAUAUGAUACUGCUUAUAUGUAGAAUCUAAGAAAAGAUACAAAUGAACUUAUGUAGAAAACAGAAAUAGAUCCACAGACAUGGAAAACAAACUUACAGUUAUCAAAUAGGAAGUAGGGGAGGGAUAAAUUAGGACUUUGGGAUUAACGGAUAUACACCACUAUAUAUAAAACAGACAACCAACAAGGACCUACUGUAUAGCCCAGGGAACUAGACUCAAUAUUUUGAAAUAACCUAUAAGAGAAAAUAGAUAUGUAUGUAUAAUUGACUCACUUUGCUGUACACUUGAAACUAACACAUUUUAAGUCAAUUAUACUGCAAUUAAAAGAUAAUUUUUUUUUAAAAGACACUCCAGCUCUUUCAACUCUGCAGCCUGGGACCUUGGCUUCAGAUGACAGGUGCUGCUGCUGUUGGCUGCCUUAUGCAAAAGCAUGAUCUUUAAUGAAUGCUCCUGUGUACUGUGGAGGAGGGAACAUGGCAGGCAGUGCUCAGAGCACUCCUGUUCUAGAUUCUAGUCCUAGCUCUCUGGUUUACUAUUCUGCUGCCAUCAGGAUGCAUGGCUGUUUUGUCUCCAUGUUCUCACCUGAUAGAAAAGGAAUACCCAGGCUUGGAGGUUUCCCAAAGCAAUUUUGUAACUGAAGGGGCCCAUGGAGUUCCCGUCAUGGCUCAGUGGUUAACGAGUCCAACUAGGAACCAGGAACUCGGAUUGAGUGGGUUCAAUCCCUGGCCUCGCUCAGUGGGUUAAGGAUCCAGCAUUGCCAUGAGCUGUGGUGUAGGUUGCAGACGCAGCUCAGAUCCUGCGUUGCUGUGGCUCUGGCGUAGGCCGGUGGCUACAGCUCCGAUUCAACCCCUAGCCUGGGAACCUCCAUAUGCCGCAGAAGCGGCCCUAGAAAAGGCAAAAAGACAAAAAAAAAAAGAAGGGGCCCUGUCAUGUCACAGGCCAUGGAGAUGAGGAUUCCUGACACUUAGAAAUUCAGUGGAGAAGGAAGGAAACCCUAUGGGCUCAGCCUUGCAGGCAUAUGUUAAUUUUAAAGGGAUGUCAGUCACUUUUCUGAGUAACUUCUUGGAUGCCUAGCAAUUCAAACCUAUUAGGAUCUUUCAAGAGUUAUCUCAGAGUAACUUAUUUCCUCUUGUCCAACAUAUAGUAGAGGUUAAGAGCAUUACAUUAACUCAUCAAAAUAAGGUUUAUUAAUUAAAACAAUUUAGGUAUUGGUCUAAGAACAGAAUUUGCAUGGUACCUUCAGAAUGACCAAGGGGUAGAUGGUGUCAUUUUCAAUGUUUAUCACUUUUUUAAAAAGACACUCCAGCCCCUUCAACUCCACAGCCUGGGACCUUGGCUUUACUACUGUGUAUGUAUGGUAUUUACUACUUUUUAAGGCCGUCAGAGAUACUGUUGAGGCUUAUUCUUUAGUCAGUGGUUUCUCAAAUUCCAUGAGGAGAACUUCCCAUCUUCCUGGCAAAGUUCUCACUCAAGACUUGAGAGAGAAGCCUACAGGUCUGAGAUGGAGCUGGAGAGAUCAAAUAUAAGCAGCUCUCUAAGCUGUGCUAACUGGUUGACCUGUACGCCCCUGUUAGAUGGGCUCUGUUUAGAUCCCAGAUUUGCUAUUUCACUCUCACAUGGUCCUGGUCCAGUAACUGAACUUCAGUUUCCUCAUCUAUUAAAUGGGAGUGACAGAACAUAAUAGAUGCUUGCUUACUCUCUAUCUUAUUCCUCUUAGUUAAUAUCUCGUUCUCUCCAAGAUCAGAGGUCAUUGCUAUCUGUGCCAGAGUCUUGGGGACUCUGUGCCUUAUUUCCAGUGUCCUUAGAGGACCAAGAAGAGAUGAAAGCUGAUUCUGAGACAUUCC